Molecule: long non-coding RNA, 470 nt
Organism: Etheostoma cragini (Arkansas darter)
Lineage: Eukaryota; Metazoa; Chordata; Actinopteri; Perciformes; Percidae
Exons: 3
Source: RefSeq, a predicted model, not a curated record
UGAAGAGAUAUACUAUAUUUUGAAGAUAACAGUGCAUGUCUGGCUCAUCCCCACAGAUGUCCGUGGACUUUAACACCUAAGCAGACAAGCGCAGCACUCAAAUUACUUCUAGGACUUUAAGCCUAAUAUGGCUUACUUUGUUUUUGUACACAACGCAUGACAAAGUAAGAUGAGACUGAUCUCAUGGGAACACCAGUUCUGAAUUAGUGAUAUGGAUACAUAUCAAUCAACAGAACACGUGGAAACCUUCCUGGAGGAGUUCAGGGAGCAGAUCAUCGAUGGGGUUAGAUCAACCAGAACCAUCAUAGAAGCAUGGAACUCACAGCAGCCAACAACCAUCUCCGAAGCUCUAACGCCACAAGAACAAAUGAGGGUGCUCUUUCAUGUUGUGGAACAAGGAACGCCACAAUUCAAAUCUAGUUUCUACCAGAUACUUUCACAGGAGGAACCCAAGCUUAUAGCUGAUUUAG